This 25-nucleotide non-coding RNA is filed under the name Cricetulus griseus (Chinese hamster). Lineage: Eukaryota; Metazoa; Chordata; Mammalia; Rodentia; Cricetidae. The record is from RNAcentral.
GAUGGUCCAUGUUUUCAAGGAUGGC